Long non-coding RNA from Ixodes scapularis (black-legged tick), 386 nucleotides. RefSeq lists it as uncharacterized. The record is from RefSeq and is a predicted model, not a curated record. Lineage: Eukaryota; Metazoa; Arthropoda; Arachnida; Ixodida; Ixodidae. The transcript is spliced from 3 exons.
AAAAAGAAAACAGGUCAACACAAAACUUGAUGUACAUGUUUGACAUAUGCUCGCCAAGCAGCCACACGAAAACAAAACAGCUGCUGCUUCUCAAAAAGGCUGGUGAACUCCCAAGUCCUGAAACGAUCUCAGCAAGUCCUGGACAGAUCUCAGAAACGUGUAUGUGUACGUGAGAUGGUGCUUCGGAUGACUGGCAACAAGGCUUUUUGGGGGUACCAAGAUUGCCGACGUGUCAUUACAUCUAAAGUGUGGCUUAAUUCGGUGGCUCUGACAUACGCACCCAGUAUGAAGAAAGCGAACAUGAAGAGGUUCAGCACUCCGGUGGCCGUCCCCAGUAUGAGGAACUUGCGCUCGUUUGCCUCUGGGUCGGAUUCGGACGGAUAGAG